RNAcentral lists this ribosomal RNA (163 nucleotides) under Scyphellandra pierrei. Its description in RNAcentral is "5.8S ribosomal RNA". It matches the Rfam family "5.8S ribosomal RNA". Rfam says of the family: 5.8S ribosomal RNA (5.8S rRNA) is a component of the large subunit of the eukaryotic ribosome. Lineage: Eukaryota; Viridiplantae; Streptophyta; Magnoliopsida; Malpighiales; Violaceae. The record is from RNAcentral.
AAACGACUCUCGGCAACGGAUAUCUCGGCUCUCGCAUCGAUGAAGAACGUAGCGAAAUGCGAUACUUGGUGUGAAUUGCAGAAUCCCGUGAACCAUCGAGUUUUUGAACGCAAGUUGCGCCCGAAGCCUUUUGGCCGAGGGCACGUCCGCCUGGGUGUCACGC